UAUUGCUGAUGAUGAUGUUGGAAAUGACAAUCUUGAUCUUAUUGUUAUUCCUCAAUAUGGGAGAAAUCCUGAUUAUUAUGGGUAAGUGUCUGCAAUCUGGAUGAUGAUAUAUGUAAUUAAAUAAAAGGAUGGGUACAGUUAUUACCUAUCAAUCAUAAGAGUGUCAAUUUAGUUCAGUUCACUAAUAAAAAUCUCUUAUACAAGAGAUUAUCUUUGUUUGCGUUCAUGUACUUUGUCUUCUUUAAUUAAUAAAUAAAAUUAUUGUGUAUCAAUGUGUUGAUUAAAUUAGUCCAUUAAUAGAUAUAAAAUCAUUUGAAUUUGUCCACAUAUUAGUUUAGUUAAUUGUGCUCUCUUUCUUCUUGAAUAUUUGUCAAACAAAGUCUACCUAUUAGUUAGCUAAUAAUCGCAGCUCGCAGGGAACCAAGAUCUUUAUAAUUAAUUACGAACGUUUAUGCUUCUUAAAUGGCUUGUGUCAUCGUGAUAAUGCCAUUACAACCUGUUAUAUAUAUAUAUAUAUAUAUAUAUAUUCAAAAGCAUUCCAACUCUAUGAACCUUCUAUUACACAAUUUUCAAAUGGUAUAAACAUCUAUUUUAAUUAGAGUAAAAUGUUGCUUGUUAGAAUGGCCCGUGAGUCAAUCUAAUUUGCGCUGGGACAAAUUAAUAGAACUUUAAAACUUUUCGACGGGUUUUGAUAAGACUUUAACUUGUCAAACCGUGGGUUGCUGUACGACGGGACUUGAAAAAAAACAUGUUGAGUUCUUUAUAAUUAAUGUUUAAAAUAUUUCAUUAAUUUUAGAGAAUAUUAAAAUAAAAAAUAAGUAAAUUCACGUUGAUCGAGAAAAAUACUGAAAUAUCGAUGCGUGUUUAGGACGAUAUAGAGGAUCUAUUUGAUCACAUUUAAUUCGCAUGCAACAGUAAUUCUGUCACAUUCUAUCACAGAUUCACGAAAGCUUCUCAUCAAAGUAUAGAAACAGAAAACUGUAAAAUUUAACGGGGGAAAACCUAUUAAACAAGAAAACAAAGCAGCCCCUCCGUACUGUGAAAUUACUUGCAAGCCAGUUGCGGUUGAGUUUGGGAAUGAGGGGCUGAGUUUGAGAUAAAUGGAGGGGAGAUAAGUUUGACUAAAAGGGGAUUCACAGGAAGACUUUAAGGGAGAAGAGACGAGUUUGAGAAAAAUUAGGAUAGAGAUUUAGAGGAGAUGAUUUGGGGUCUCAAAUUAACUAAUCCAUUCUUACAAUCACACAAACCGAUGGAAACCCAUUCAGAUUUUGAAAUAAUGAUGGUGACAUUAGUAGCUUAAGCCAAAACAUAAUUUAAAAAUAACAUAUAUAUAUAUAUAUAUAUAUAUAUAUAUAUAUAUAUAUAGUCAUUCUCUAGUGUAGGUAUCUUCAUUUAUUUUUCAUGCGAACACAUUUUAAAACCGCGGAGUUUAAGAGAGUUAGUUUUUAACUCUUUAAAACCGCAUAGUUUAAAAGUUUAUCCGUAUUAAAAAAAAUACGGGCGUCCGCACCUGAGAAUGAUUUUAUAUACACACACGUAUAAAGUAAUUUUUUAAUUGUGAAUUAUCAACCAUAUUAAAGUCAAGAGAAAGUUUAUAAAAAAAACCACCGACGCUAAUACAACGUAUUUUGUUGUGUAAUGUUUUGAAAUAUUCCUGCAAAUAAAUGGAUACUGAAAAUGAUCAUAUUAUUUUUAGUGAUUAAUGAUUCUUAUCGAGUAGAUUCCUGAUCUAUGAAAUGACUUACAUGAGCAUAUUCACCCUUUGGGAGUGGGAAACAAGUAAAAUUAUGUGUGCUAGAGGAGCCAAUAUCGAAGAGUUUAAGUCUAUGCUUCUCGUAAUCAAUUUCCAUAUCAAAACAAAAUGGAGUUGAUGAUAAUCUUGAUUUUACUAAAAAAAAAAAGGAAUAAUAGAUGUCUCAUUAGAAAAUAUUAAUGUGCCAUAUAUAUAAUAGUUCAAUCAUGUAAAAAUACUUGAAAAAUUAAUCUUGAGAAUGCAAAAUAAGAACUAUAGCAAGCACCUCUACAGGCAUAAAUUAAAAGAAUUGCAACGUGUACAUGAAGACUGCUAGACAUAGAAAAAAGUGAUAAAAAAAAAAACUGAUAUAUGAUAAAGAGCAUAAUAGAGAUAGUUGUUAUUAGGGAUGGUAAAAUUCUCCAUGGGUUGGGGUUCUCUAGGGCUCCAUGAUACAAACUCUUAAAAUAAUUAAAAUUAUUUAUUUUAUUUUAUGGUAUUAGUUAAUUUUGAACUAGUCAAAAGUAGUUGCACUUAUUUUGUGGAAUUACAUGUAAGUAAUGGAGCAUUAUGUGAAAACAAGCCCAAUGUUACUAAUUUUUAGGUUGUAAUCUUAAAUAAGCUUUAUUAUAUAAAGCUUGAUGUUAGUCAAUGAAAAGUAUCAUGAGUUAAUUAUUUGGCAACAUAAAAGUUGUAAUUGGGAGUUUAUUGGUUUCUCGAAUAACUAGUAUUUAUUUGGAGAUUUGGGUUUCUUCAAAUUAAUCCCAUUUGUCAUCUAAUUUUUUCUGUUUCAUUUGAUUUCUCCUUAUAAACAGUAGCAUUCGUAUCAUUCCACCCCAAAUGGGGUGAAUUUUGAAUAAUUUUUGGAGAAUGAGGUGGGGAAUUAGAGAAAAAUAAUCUCCAAAUUCUUAAUAAUAUGGGGUUUGAUUUUGUACUUCCCACUCCACAGUCCACACCCACUCCAGUCCCCAUUACAUAUAAAUAUUUUUUAAUUUUUAUUUAAUAAAUUUUUUAUCAAUUACAAUGUCAAUUAAUAAUUUUUUUUAUUUUCACUUGAUAUAAAUGAGUUAUGACUAAAAGAAAACCCUAUAAUAUAAUUUUUAUUCAACCCUAAAACAUUGUUAUAUUUUCUUUUCUAUCUUAAAAUACCACUCUCUUCAAACAUUUUUCAAUUUUGAUAUUAUUUUAAGAUAUUGUUUCAGACAUUUGGAGAUUUUUUUAAAUAAUUUGAAUACUUCAUAAUAUAGUAAUGAUUUUAUUGAACUCUUUAAUUUUUAAUUUAUUGAAAUCAUAUAUCUAUAUCUACUAUAAAAUAAAAAUAAAUGGGGAAUGAGGAGGGAUGGGGAUGGGGAUGAGGAAAUCAUUUCUCAUGUGGGGAUUCCUUAUACCCACCCCACUAAAUUCAUUGAGAAAUGAAGUGGGAAUUAGAGGCAAAAUUUUUAACACGGUGGGGAAUGGGAUAGCCUUCCUACCCCCACCCCACCCCAUUGCCAUCUCUAGUUGUUAGAUGGUGGAUAAUUUUACAUAAAUUAAUUGUAUUAAACUUAUUAUCCGAAUAAAAUUGUUUUAAAUAAAAUUUUAAUAAAUGAAAUUUUGGAAAUAUGUAAUAUUAUUUUUAAUAAUAGUGAUACACAAACUCGUCAAAAUUAAUUUGUCAAUCAUCUGUAAAUUUUACCAACUCUAUAGUUCAAUUAACAUUUUUCUAAACCUCAUUUUAUAUUUAUCGCUUUUGAAGAUUAAAAUAUCAUGAUUUAUUAUGUCCAUAUAAGUAAUUUGAUAACCUCAUUUCAGUAUAUCAGAAUAUCAAGAUUUAUUAGGUCUUUACUUGCGCUUUUGGCUGCAAGAGCCUUCGCCAAUUGAUCAUUUUAUGGGGUUUGACAUAGCCACAAAAUUAAGAUAAAGGUUCAAAGACAGUAUUACAGGUUCAUCCACCAUAAAACAAAUGAUAUUUUGAAAAGAAAAUUAAGACCCUAUUAGUUAAUUUGUCUCGUAAUUAAUUAUUGUCGACAAGCCAUCACAAACUUUCUUCAAUUAUUCCUACUUUUCUAAAAAAAUCUUUAAUGAUAAAAUUAUUUGCACUCUAAAAAUUAUUCUUUAACAUUAUUUUAAUAAAUUAUUUUAUGAGUGAUGAUACAGCCACAAACUCUUGUACAAACUUAUUUCGUACAAACUGAUGUGGCAUCAAUUCAUUGGUUGAAUGAAAAUACAAAAUAAUGAAAAUAAAUCAUGUGGGCCAAGAGAUAUUUAAUUUAACCAAUUUUAUCAUGCCACAUCAGUUUGUACAAAAUAAGUUUGUACAAGAAUUUGUGGCUAUAUCAUUACUCUUAUUUUAUUACAAAAAUACUCAUCAUAUGAAUUAUUGACAAGGAUUCUCUCUUAUAGGCUAAUAUAAUAUAAUUAUUCUGAAUACUCAUAUGGCAUACUCACUAUUCAAUAUAUAAUUUCUCUUGUCAUAAAUCCUAAAAAUCUUAUUUUCAAUCUCUUGAAUAAUGUUUAAUUAAACAAGGAGCAAAUCAAUACUAAAAAUACAUUUUGAACAUAUUUUUGCUUGUUAAUUUUUUUUAAAAAGUAGUUUUUUUAAAUAAGCAUUUAAUUCAGAAGAUGCAUGCUUGGAGUUAUGAUUUUGGAUGUAGAGAAGAUUUGAUCGGAAACGAGAAAUGGCGGCAGCAAGCUUAUUGAAUCGUCGUUCUGCGAAGAAGAGUUUGCUUUUUGCUGUUUCUAGUGGAAUGUCACUUAAUAAUCAAAACAGGCUUCUUCUUCUUUCUUUUUUAAAACCUAUAGCUUUAUGGUUUAUGCUUAGUAACAAAAAAAGAGUCAAAUAUCAGUGGUCUCUAUAACUAACAGUGAGCAAGAUUCGAUUUUGAAAAAUCUUGUACCAAUUUGCUUUUGUGCUAUUUUAUAUUCAAUUGACGAAAGAAUUAAUGCUGUAACUGCUACCCUUGUGUCGAUGACUACAUUAAUAAUGCCCCCAAAUUAAAGCCCACAUAAAAUUAAAUAGUAUACUCUAGCAAAUUAAAUUAAGUCAUAUUGUAAGGUAUCAAGAAUUAAAUAUUCUAUUAGCAAAGUCAAAACGUGAAAUCUAUCCAAACCAAGCCCACCGGUUUGUCCAUGAAAAUUAAUUAUUUCUUCAUUAUUAUCGAAUUAAUAUCUUCACUUGAUAACAUGGUUUACGAGGUAGGUCGCACAUUAAUUAUAUGAUUACUUCAUAGUUAUCCAAUAUCUUCGUACACCUUUUAUGACUAACCUAUUGGUCUAUCCAAAUUAAUAGUCACUUAAUUUAUUGUGGUCCAAUAUCAUCACUUGAUAAGAUUAAAGCAUAUAUACCCACAGCCCCCUAUAUGCCUCUUAAUUAUAUAUCAUGACUUUGUCCAGCAAGAGAGAAAGAGAGAAAGGGUAGGACUCUUUUCGAGCUUUUACAAAUCUACGGUAGAAUAAGAUGAUUUAAGUAAAAAUAAUUUAAAAAAAAAAAACCAAAUACCAAAAUUAACUUUCAAAAUUUUAAAAUUAUUUUCUGCCAUCUCAAAAACAGUGUCAAAUGAAACCUUUUAUCCAACUAAAAAAAAAUAGUGAAAAGUAGUGGGAAUUUUAUUAACCGCACAAAUCAUAAGUCAAAAAAUAUGAACAAAAUAGUUUGUUCUUCGGAACUCUAAUAAAUUGGAGGCAUGUGCUGCCCGAAACCAAAUGAUGCAUCAAGAUUUGUUCUUUGAAAAAUAAAUUAAUUUGUUAGUAGAUAGUUGCGUGUUUUACUUUCAAAAAAGGCUAAAAUAAUUUCAGGCCUUGGAUGCAUCUAACGGCUGAAAUCAUAAUAUCAAGAUUUAUUCUUAAGUCUUUGUUUGAUAUCAAGAUUUUUGAUUCAACCGCACAAUUAAGUUAAAGUUUCGUAUGCAGACUAUUAGGGAUUCAUCCAGGUAUGCAACAAACAGAUGAAAUGAUAUUUUGAAAAGAAAAUUAAUUUGUCUUGUAAUUAAUUAUUGCCGGCAAACUUUAUCUCAAAUCGCACACUUCUUUUCAAAUAUUAUCUACUUUUCUAGACUCUACGAUUACUGUCUACAUUUUUCAAUGAAUUAUUGCUCGGUAACUAGUUUUUUUACAAUCAUUUUUUUCGCGGACCAGAUCGUGUUUCGCACUAAUUGCAAUCAUUUAACCAUAUAUGGCCGUUAAUCGUACCCAGCCAUUGCGCGAAAAAACAUCAGCCGUUGAUCGUUUAUCUGUACAAUUUUUUAAUAUUUAUAAUAUUUUACUUAUAAAUCAUGAUUUUCCUUAAAGUUGUGGAUUCCUCCACUGAAUAGAAAUGGUUGUGAUUUAUUUGUCAAUUCAAAAGUUCCAACAGUAUUUCAAUGUUGUGCAUUUUCAGCUAAUUAGUCAAAGAUAAUCUAGUGCAUCUUCAGAAUUUUUAUCCCUAAAUUUACCAUUACACAUUAUUUCAACAACCUAUCUACUUUAGGGUAUCAAGCUCUUGUAGAAAUAAAUGACCAAUCACCAAGUUUCAAAACCAUGGUGUGGACAUAUGUUAAGCAAUUCUUUAAACCCAUCCCAACAUUGGUAUAAUGUUUCUCCAUUUUUUUUAGUGAAAUAAGUGAUUUGCCUUUUAAAAGAAUUGGUUCUAUGAGGUGGAAAGAAUUUUUUCAAAAAUUAUUCUUACAUGUUAUUCGAAGUUCUUAUUGAUUCAGAUCUAAAGUUUUAUAGCCAAGUUUUAGCUUUAUUUUUUAAUGAAAAAAGAAAAAGUUUCAACCUAACUAUGUUCAUGCUACAAUUUUGGUUUAUAUAUGUAUUACAAACUUCCUCAAAGAUGCAAGUAUGGAUUCUCAGAUUCUAAACCAUGAAAUGUUGGUAAAAGUUGGAUAAUACAUGGUUUAAAGUUGAAUCGAGAAGCCUCUGGAGGUAGGGGUGGCAAAUAUACCCGCCCAGUCUGGAUCCGGACCGUACUCGGGCGUUUUGGGCAUCACUUGAUAAACCCAGAACCCGGAUUUUAUUUCAAAAAAUUAUUAGAAAAUAUAUAUUAUUUUAAAUAUUUAUAUUUAUUUGACUCAUUUAUUACACAUAUAUAAAGUUUUAAACACUUAAAGUUCAUAAUUUCAUGUCAAAUUUUAUUAAAAAUAAAUUUAAAACUUAUAAAAUUACCAAAAAAAUACACAUAUAAUAUUAAAAAAAUAUAAAAUUCGGGUACCCGGAUUAAAGCCCAGCACAACCCGGCCCGGGCAUCUAUGCAUCCGGGUCGGGUCCGGUCAUUGCGAUACCCGGACCCGGGCCAGGGUUUUGCCAACCCUAUCUGGAGGAAAUACUAUACAGCUCCGAUUCUAGUUGGAUUCAUGUAGUCUCUCAAGAUUCUUCGUCGAUUCUGAUCACGUCCAGGUUGAGACUGAUUGUCUCCCUGAUAAAUUUGAGGAUUAGGUUCGCCCAAAAGUUUUUCAUCUUGGAUUUCGUCCAUAAUUAGUGAUGGAGAUUGAGAUCUACGAAUUAACCUGCCACCUGAAGUUCGAGACCAAUGUGUCAUGAAAUGGUUAUAUCACAAAGGUAAUAUUCAAAUAAAUUAGUAACAAAAGAACUAAAUGAAAAUUGCACAAAACAAAAAUAAAAAUUAAAUAUGCAAAUAAUAAGAGGAUGAAUACCCCGAAAUCUGGGUUGUGACUUUUGAUCAUUGUCGCAGCAUGAAGUUUGUUGUGACCUCUAGUUCACAUGCACUCUGUUUUUGUAGUUGCCGCAUGUCAAUGUUAUUGUAGUUCCCUUUUUAGGCUAUAUCUUGUCUAGUUGUCUUUGUGCUCGAAAGUGUGAACUUAGUCAGCGUCGAUAAAUGGAGUGCUUUUGCAUGUUACUUUUUAAUGAAUGGUGGAAACAAUAAUUCAUAAGCAUCUUAGCAUAACAUUUUCGCUCAAUUAAUGCAUAUCAAUAGCGGUUUACUCAUGCUCUGUAUGUGACGCAUUUCUAGGAAGCUUAUAUAUGGAGUUCAUUCGUUUCUGAGGUAUGCUAGAUUUGCAUGGGAAAAAUGAUAAUUUUGACCUGUUUAUUGUCCCUCAAUAUGGGAGAAAUCCUGACCAUACUGGUUAGGUACAUGUAAUAUUUGUUUAUUGCCCUUUAAUAUGGGAGAAAUCCUGACCAUACUGGUUAGGUACAUGCAAUAUUAAUCUUUCGUUUUAUGUUUAAUUAAAUAAAAGGAUAGGUAAUGUUAUUACUUAUGAAUCAUGUCAGUGCCAUUUUGGUUCAGUUCAACUAUUAAUAUCUCUUAGAAUGUUAAAGAAAUUAUCACUGUUAGUGUCCAUGUACUUCGUCUUUUUUAAUAAAUAAAAUUAUCACGUGUCAAUGUGUUAUUUGUUUUGAUCUUUCAACAAAAUUCAGUUUAAUUAAUUAUGCCCUCUUUCAUCACGAAUGUGUGUGUGUAUAUAUUUGAAAAAACUAAAACAAUGAGGGGCACUAUAACUUUUUAUUUGCCAAACAUGGGAUUGUGUAAAAUUAAUACAAUGAGAGGCUUUAAUACAACAACCAAACAAGCUCUUAAGGGAAAAGGACACACACCCCCAUGCCUAAUAUUUAAUAAAGCGACAGAUAUAUUUGUUAAUUUAUAAAGUUUAUUAACUAAUAAAUGCCAAAUAUACUAAUUUUUAUUGUAGUAUAAGCCCAAGUUCAUGGUAGAGAAAACAGGCCUAGGCCCUUUGUAGGAUUGUCCAAGUUGGAACAGGUCGAACUUAAGACUUUUUUAACAAUUCAAUAAAAUAAAACAAUAGCUAAAAGGUAAAAACAACUUAAGUUAAAGAGGAUUUUAUUAAUUUUUUCUCUGUUCAACUAAUUAUACAACAAUAUUUAUUUAAAAAAAAUUGAAAUAGCCUCCAACAAAAAAAAUGAAUUUUACAAAAAUUUACAGCCUACAAAAUGUAGGUUCAAUUGUUCAACAUAGCAUUACUAUAACAAUAAUAAUAAUAAAAGACAUAAUUAGCAUCAGAUUCCAAAUCCAAUAAUCCAAUUUCCAUAAACACUAUCACACUAACAUUUUUUUUCUUUCUUAUUUUUCCAUUCCAUUUUUUUCAAACUUAAUUCGUAAAUUAAAUUUAAUUAUUUAAAGAAAGAAUACGUUUGAGAUUUGAUGCACAAAACAUAUAUAAAUUAUUCAUAAUUUCAAUAUUAGGAAAUAAAUGUUUAGGGGGAUUGAAUUGAUGUCCAAAAUUCAAAUGGCCUAAAUAUGACCCCUUUAUAUAUAUAUAUAUAUAUAUACAGUUAUAGAAUAAUUUUUCAAUGCUGAAUCAUUGACUAUAAAGUCAAGACAAGGUAAAAAAAAAAAAUCAACGUUAAUACAACGUAUAUUGUCGUAUAAUGUUUUGAAAAAUUCCUACAAAUAUAUGGAAACUGAAAAUGACCAUAUUAUUUCUGGCGAUUAAUGAUUCUUGUGGAGUAGAUCCCUGAUCUAUGAAAUGACUUACAUGAGCAUAUUCACCCUUUGGGAGUGGGAAACAAGUAAAAGUAUGUGUGCUAGAGGAGACAACAUUGGGGAGUUAAGUCUGUGCUUCUCGUAAUCAAUUUCCAUAUCUAAAGAAAAUGGAGUUUAUAAUCUUGCUUUUACUAACCUCGUUAACUACUUUGUGAACAAGUUUUUGAUAGACAAAUCUCAAACAUCCAGUGUUUGAUUUUAAGGCCUUUAAGUUUAUGUACUUUCCAUAUUAGGAUCAAUGUCAGAUCUUUAACAACUUUUUUAGAUUUGUAAGUACCUUGGUAUCUUUAGGCCUUCAAUUAUUAAUUUCAGCAAAAAGGUUGAGAAGGAGGAAUUUCUUGAAGAUACGGAGCUUUAUCGUGAUCCUACCACUACACUUCACUAGUAAUAUACUCUCUAAGAUUCUUUUAUUGACAUUGUUUGUUCAAUCCCUUCUUAACCUUCUAGGAUACGACUUUCCUCUUAUUAUACUAUUAAAACAUUUAAUCCUUGAUAUAAAAACAUUUUUAUAGGCCCGAAGUCAGUCCUACAUCAAAAUGCAGAUCUUCAGAAAUAAAUGUAAACCUCUGUUGUUUCAAAAAUUUAAUUCAUGUUAUUUUUCUUUUAAAUUUAUGGUGAUUUGCAGUUCAAGAGUAGUCGUUGGCAUUGUUAUGAUACUAUGAUAGCAGUGCAUGCAGCAAAAGAAAAACAAGUAGCCGGGUAACUAAGCUCCUUGAUUAGUUAUUUUAUUUUUUGUUUGCCUCUAGUCUAACUACAAUUGCCAAUUGUAUGCCCCAAAAUGGUUGCAAUGGUUACAUCUCGAGGGGAGACUUUCGUAGUGAACUUCAACAUUGAAUCCAUAAUCAGAUAGUUCGACUGUAAAGAUUUCCAGCAAAUCACCAUGAAAAUCCACCUUUAUUAAAAUCUUGGCAAAAUGGCCAUACUUUUUCUCUCUUAUUGCCUGAUGAAUUUGCAAAGAAAUGCCAACUUCUCUAGCCACCGUCAUCAGAAUUCUAGGAUGCCAGUACUCCACUCUGGGAUCAUAUGUUCUUAAGGACGUGACUGGAUAGUUGGCUCACAAAGGUUGAAAUUCCAUCACCAUUUGUAUAAGCGAAAGAACCCCUGAGGUAGUUUAUAAUAUUGGGGCAAGAGAAAACAUUUGGUGAAAACCAUCACCUAUAAACUCAGGAAUAUUCAUGUUGUAUUAUCAAGAAUCAAUAGCAUAAUUAUGCGGAAGCGUAUCUGAAUUCAUAACGCUUAAUUCCUCUCUAGAGUAGCGUGGUUGGCCUUUCAGAUCUACACGUUCUCCUAUAGAGUCCUUUAGUUCUCUCUACGCUCUCUCUCUAAUAAUGAGAUAUCAUAAAGAAUGGAAAGAAUACAUGUAACCUGAGGACCAUAACCACUUAUAUAGACAACUUAUUCCAGUUGUCACAUGAUAUUCAUAAUUCUGCCUAUCAUAGAAUUAGAAUAUUAUUGGGUCCUACACAUUAAGGCUCACACUAUAUUAGAUACAUUAAAGCUCAUAAUACCGAAAAUCUAAAUAGAUCACUUUUAAUUGAGCUUAACCUUAUACAACAGUCUGCAACACAUAAUUAUUCACAUAUAAGCCCAACGUUGGAUUAAGGAUCCAACAAUAUUGAAUUAAAAAAUCCAACAAUCUCCCACUUGGGCUAUAUGUGUAACCUUAUAAUUAUGUUUUGCAAAAAUAACCAUAUGAGCUCAACCUUACUGUCAUUAUAGAAAUAUAUAUAUAACUAAUCCGGUCCAUAAAUCAUACUAACGUAAGAUUACCCGUACCUCUAGCUUUUACACAAUAACUACAGAACAAUUAUAUUUCAACAUAAGUAUAAGAAAAGGUGCACGCAUAAGUACACAGAAUGGACUGUAGACCGUAAUAUCCGGAUUCAUAAGUACAAGAGGCAGAACUACAGAACAAUUAUAUUUCAACAUAGCAUCAUUAUCUAAGAAAAGGUGCACGCAUAAGCAUUAUACGAUGAAGCCUACUUGCUUAAUUUAUAAUGGAAGGAAAGCCAACCAUGAUGACUCGUCUGCCAUAAUGUUUAAUGUCAGAGAAAAAGAAAAAAUUAUUUUGCUAAUAUGCAUUCUUCUUAGUUCUAAGACUAUCUAUCAAGAAAAUUGACUUCAUUAAGAUCGUUGCCUUUCAAAGAAUUCAUCAACUGUACAAAAAGCAACUUCGAACAACCAUUAAAUGCUCUAUUGAAAAAUCAAUAUCAUAGGUCCGCACGUUUAAUAUUUUCAUUCCUGGCAACAGAGAAAAAGACUGCACCUCUCCCAGAGUCACGUCCUAAGAUAGUUGUCCAAAGCCAAUGCAGUUUCUACCACGUCUUAUGUCUCGACGAACAUGAGCUUAUACUGCAUUAUUUCCUGCAAGAAGAAGGCCAUCAGGUUUCCCUCCCAAGAAAACAUGAGCUUCUACUUAAAUGUGAAUUAAUUAUCAAGUUAUAACAGAGAAAAACAAAGAAAAGAUGCCAAAAUGUUUGAAGACAGACUGAUAAACUAAAAGGAGACGAGUGGCAAUUAUUUCAUCCAUGUACAAGUAACUGAGAAAAAAACAUACAAUCCCAUCAGGGACAACGGAGGCCAUCUCCACCAAGAGCUUUCCAUAAUUAAUUUAUAAACAUACAAUCUCAUCAGGCUUUAUGGCGAGUGAAGCUUCACGGCAGCUAAGCUGCAACCGAAAUGUCAAAUAAACAAAGAGAUCAAUGGAGAUUUUAGCAUAAAAAUUAACAGCUUGUGAAACAAAGAUGACAGCAUAACAAUAUGCACUAUUUUUACAUCAGAAGCCAUAGUAUUGCAUCAGCAGUGGAAGGCGACAACUAACUAAAGAAUGAUGAAACUCAUUUUUCAUAGCAAAAAUAAUGAUAUUGAAUCCAAGCACAAUAAAUAUUAUUAACUUCAGAUAAGCCAUCUAGCUAAAAUAGCAAAAUAAAUAUGUUAGCACUCUAAUAGCUCAAGAUACAGAGCUACCAAAGCACUGCCCAAGAUUUCUUGCUCACAAACUGCCUCAACUAUCAGCUUUAUGCCAGCUGAUAUACACUCCAGUUUACACAGAUUAAAAAGCCACGUGUAUAACGGCCUCAUAACAGAUUUGAUUCCCUUCUCACGUGCGUUUUCACGUGCUUUACUUAAACCAGCUUAAAACGAUCUUGGAUGAUGCCGUUUUAAACAGUAAGUUGAGCACAUGUUUAGCUCGUGACUUCUUGAGGCAUUUGAACCCAAUCUGAAACGCUUCCGUUUAACCCUUCAAGUUUUGUAUUCAGCAGAUUAAUCCACAAAAUCAAAUCUGGAAACCGAACGAAGGCCAUUCAAAUUUUUUCGGAAGACCUUAAAAUUGAACAUUCUGGAGGCAAAGGGAAGUAAAACACGUUCCAAAAUUUCGUACCUGUCUGUAAAACCUCCGUCAAAAUAUGAACAAAGUUUGCCCUGUAGCUUUUUCCAUCUUUUUUAUUUUUUACAAGACCAAAACUGGAUAACCGAGGGUCACCAUCCUGCGAUGAAAUGAAAAUUAAUUAAUGAACCUGUACAAUCAAAUGCAUAUGAACAUGCUGAAAAAUCAUAUGAAGCAGCCACAAGUUCCCUGACCUAUAUAUUUCUCCAGUAAUUAAAAUUAUUCUUAUAGAAGCAAUGAAAUGAUUAGCAGACUUUUACCUUUCAGUUUGCGUACAAGUCCCCUUACCCAUGUAGUCAUCCUCACUCUUUGCAUAAAUGUAUUGCAACUCCAGCAAUGACCCUAAUCUUGUAAGAACAGGAAUGUGUAGCAAUCGAUAGUCUGGUGAUUCACUGCCAGCUUAGCCAUUCUCAUUUCUCUGACCCUGUGGUUAUUUCUUAUGUUUAUGCUAGCUGCCUUAUGUCUAUUCGAGAGGAUCUAUGGGAUGCCGUAGUGACAUACUUUCAUAGCCAUGAUCGCCCUUGGAUUGUUGGUGGGGGACUUUAAUGUUGUUCAGUCUGUUUCGGAGAUUUCUGGUGGGCAUAACCAACCCUAGGGAGCUAUUGAUGCUUUCAACCUAACAUUGGUGGAUUGUGGGUUGGAGGAUGCUGGGUUCGUUGGUAGCCCAUAUACUUGGACUAAUGGACAUGCUUGGAGGCGGCUUGAUCAGGUGGUCUGUAAUGCUUGUUGGUCUGAUUUUUUCUCGUCGUUUCAGGUUACUCACCUGAACCGUACAGCUUCGGACUAUUCUCCUCUGCUCUUUUCCUGUGACAAGGGUGCGACUAAGGGACCUCCCAGAUUUAAAUUUUUGCAUACUUGGCUCAGACAUCCGGGUUUCUUUGAUGUUGUGACUCAGUCUUGGGAUUCUCCAGUGGUUGGUUUCGGGAUGCGGGCAUUCCAACAGAAGCUUGUCCGUCUGAAGAAUUGUUUGAAAGCUUGGAACAAGGAAGUGUUCGGCAAUGUCUUUUACAGAGUGAAAGAAGCUGAGAAGGACAUAGCUCGGAAGAAGAGGCAGUACGACCUUUCUGGUUCUGUGGAGGAUAGGGUUAUGUUUUCAGAGGCCAGGGCUCAUUUGCAGCAUGCCUUGUUGUGCGAGGAGAGUUUCUUGAGACAGCAGUUCAAUGUCCGAUGGGUCCGAGAGGGUGAUGCCAAUACCCGCUUUUUUCAUGCGAUAGUUCAUUUUUAUCAAUGUCCUUUUGAUCAGAAAUUCAUGAAGAUUUCAUCCAUUAGUUUUUUUGUGGCCCAUUUAGUAGUGGCUGCAUUCUGUUUGUUGAAAUGUCUUAGAGAAGCUUGCAAGUUGCAAUACUAACAAGCUUAAUGAGCUGGAGAUAAAGUGGCAGUGAGCUGGAGUUAAGCUGACAUGGAGCAUGAAUCAGCAUUGUCUUAAGAGCAAUCCAGAGUUAGUUAGAGAGAAAGUAAAAGCAGAGGAAGAAGACAAUGAUCAUGUGAUAUAUGUACAGUACAAUAGCAGUAGCCGUUAGAUCAAUUGAUUUACAACCAUUACACCAUAAGCUUGCUACCCCAGCUAUGCACUGAUGCAUUAAUAGAAAAGAAAGUGAAUGAAAAAGAUGUGCUGUGCUCAAUCAAUUAAUCCUUUUGCGUCUGCCACCAAAACUUAAGGUAGUUAGAAAUUUUUUAACUAGUCAAAAUACCAAUAUUUCCAAAAGCUUUAAGCUUAUGGGACAACCAGUUGCUCAACAUCGACCUUGAUAUCAGAACCAAUCCGGAUGAGGAGUCAGGUGUUCGAAUUCCAUCAUUCAAAAUUGCCUUAUAAUUCCCGCGCUUUCUUGGCAAGAAAAGGCAGUGGAGGCCUUUUAUUAACCAUAAGGGGUGGAUUAAUUGAUGGAUUAAAAUCUUUUGGCAGUCAUUAUUUUACUGGUUGGAAUUUCUUUAUGUUCUACUAUUAAUGAAUUUUCCUUGCCAUUUUUAAGUCUGUGAUAUAAGUGUUCAUAAUGGUGCGUUGUCGAUGUAGUUCUCUCCAGCGAAUCAUGUGUUGAUGCACAUAUUGAAAAAGAGGUAAAGAAUCUAAAUUUCCUGCUUCACAGUGUAGAUGAUAGAAUUUUUCAGUUUAAAACGUGAGGAGUUUUAGUUCACAUGCACUCUGUUUUCGUAGUAGUCUUAAGAUAUGUUGUCACUUGUCAGUGUUCUUGUAGUUCCCUUUUAAGACUACAUCUUGUCUAGUUGUCUUUGUACUCAAAAGUAUGUAGUUAGUGGCGAUAAAUGGAGUGCUUUUGUAUGUUACUUUUUAAUGAAUGAUGGAAAAAAUAAUUCAUAAGCAUCUUAGCAUAACAUUUUCACUCAAUUAAUGCAUAUCAACAACGGUUUACUGAUGCUCUAUAUGUGACUCAUUUCCAGGAAGCCUUUAUCAGGUAUGCUUAACUCAUUGAAAACUUAUUAUUUUUCAUGUUUGGGCCAUCACAACAUUGACAUUGUUGAUGCUGUUCGUGUCUUUCUCACUGUACAUAAGAAUGUAAACUCUUUUUGGAAGGUAUAAGAUCAAGAUUCUGUUUGAAAUCUUUACCAUCAGCUUGCUUUUCAUUUGGUGGAUACUACUAUCGAUAAUGUCAUUUUUGUCAUCACAAACAUAACGCCUACUCUUCAUCUGUACAAAUCACCAUAAAUUUAAAAGAAGAAUAGACAUUAAUAAAUUUUUGGAGCAACAAAAGUGUAUAUUAACUAAUCUUCAUAUUUUUAAUAAUAAAAAAUAAUUUUUGACCCUUAGCAGCUGCUUCAACUUGAAGUUGACCUUCCCAACAUUUCCAACUGACAUUUUGUCCAUCGAUUGUUACAUUCAUCCUCAAAGCAUGCACUGAAGAAGGGAGGCUCAUACUCCACUGGCUGCAAGCCUGCAACAAUUAAGCUCAGGGAUUAUUAAAAAAAAACCACAAUUAAUUAAUUCCAAAUACAAAUGUAGAAACUUAAUUAAGACAUCAGAUAUCAGUUCUAUAAGGGGGUAUCAUCACAUCAUCAUAGUAGAGCGGCUUCACUGAUACAUUACGCUGUAACAAAUUAGGAAUAAUAGAUAUCUCAUUAGUUGAUAAUAAUGUGCCAUAAAUAAUAUUCAAUCAUGUGAAAAUACUUGAAAAAUUAAUCUUCAAAGUGCAAACUGAGACUAUAGCGAGUAUCACUACAGGCAUUUCCAAACCCUUAUUAUAUCUCGGACGCUUUUGCAAUUUACUAAGCAAUUUAGCAGGUGAGGUGCUGAAUGUAUAGUACAGAUGUGACAAGUUAAAUAAAUACAGUCUACACAAAAAUAGAAAGAUAAAUGAAAUUUAAUUAUUGAUGUUGAUUAAAUUAAAUGAAACUGCAUAUAAAGGAAGACAUGUUCCAAUGUCUGUAUAAUCCUCUCAAUAAAUAUCUCAAGAGUAAGAACAUAAAAAAAAAAGAGAAAAUAGAUAUGAAAAUAAAGCCUUAAUUACAGGAAUAUUCUUCAAUCAAAGGCCCUUCAUUUUCAUAAAGAAUUUUCCACACCGAAAAAACGAACUACAUUGCAUGCCUACCGAAAAAUUAAAUAAAAAUUGUUUUUAAUUUCGAAUAGCGAGCCCAAAUUUUCUAUUUCCAGAAGAAAUCUUAUGCUGUUGAAAAGUUUCAUAUUAGGAAUCAUUUACUGCUAGUGUCAGUGAAGUCUCCUUAGUGAUCUGCGGUUUCUUCACUCGUGAUCUACCAGACUUGAAACGAUAAUCAUAUAAUGAGAUAAGUAUUAACUGUUAAUUGAACUGUAGAAUCUCAAAAAUGAGUAAACGGAUUACAAAUUAAUUAUGACGAGUUUGUGUAUCCCUUGGAUUAAAAUAUCAAGAUUUAUUAGGUCUAUAUAAUUAAUUUGAUAUUUUAAUAUCUUCAAUUUGGUAUAUCAGAAUAUUAAGAUUUAUUGGGUCUUUAUCAAGAGCCGUCGCCAAUUGAUCAUUUCAUGGGGUUUGAUACAGCCACAGAACUAAGAUAAAAUUUCAUAGGUAGACUAUUACGGUUACUCCACCAUAAAACAAACGAUAUUUUGAAAAGAAAAUUAAGACUCUGGUAGUUAAUUUGCCUCGUAAUUAAUUAUUGCGGACAAACCAUCACAAAAAUUUUUCAAUUAUUAUUUACUUUUCCAUUUUCUUUAAGGGUGAGACUACUUACAUUUUAAAAAUUACUUUGAAUAUUUUUUAUUUUGAUAAAUUACUUUAUUACAAAAAUACUUAUCAUAUGAAUUACUAAUAAAGACUGUAUCUUUUAUAAACUAAUAUAAUAUUAUUACUCUGAACACUCAUAUAGCAUAGUCAAUAUUCAAUAUAUAAUUUCUUGCUAUAAAUUCUAAAAAUCUCAACCACAAUCUCUUAGAGAAUGUUUAAUUAAACAAGGGGCAAGUCAAUACUUAAAAUAUAUUUAGAACAUUUUUUGCUUUUUAUUUUUUUUUAAAAGUAUGUUUUCGUAGUCUUUUCCUUCUUCUUUUUUUUAGGGGGGGGGGGGGGGGGGGGAAGGGGACUAAAUGGCCCUUUUGUUAGGUUAAAAAGUUGGGGUGUGAAAAUCAAUAUUGUACAUAUUCUUUAAUAGACAAAAACUAAUAAUUAAAAUUUAUGUUAAAGAAUUUGUUUAGAACAAAAUUUGAUUCUAUUGUUGUACAUACUAAAUUGUUAUUAAUUCAUUUUGUACAAAUGCUCGUUUAGUCCCUAUAUUUUAACUUUAGUGCUUAUUUAAUACCUAUAUUUUAAAAAACGCCUCAAGAUACCUAUACUAUUAAAUAUGUUGUACUCUUUUCCUUACUUUUUCUUAGCUUUUACAAUAAUACCCAACAAUAUUUUUUACAUUAAUUGUUUAAUCUAUAAAAAAAGUUACUUAGCAAAUUAACUAAUAAUUAAACAUCAAUAUCAAACAAGCGGUACUUUUUAUACCCUUACAAGAAUCUUGCUGAUCAUUAUUUAUAAAUAAAUUAAUAAUAGCCAAUUUAAAGUAAUGUUUAAUAUCCUUUCAACAACAUUACCAAUAAUGUUUUGUUAAAAAAUUAAUUUACUAAAUUAAUCCUAAAUAUAAAAUAAUAGCAACUAAUUUUUAUUUUACUUUUAUGGCUAAUUUAAUAAAUUUAUUUUUUUCAUUAAUAUCUUUAAGAAUAUUGUUGCAAAGAUAUUAUUAUAAAAGUGAAGAACAAGCUCAAUUAAAAUAAAUAAUGCAAGCUAGUACUAAAUACCUAUUAUAAUUUUAGAAUAGUUUAUUAAAAUAAAAAGGGAAAAGGACAUCUACACAUGCAUUAUUUAUUAUGCAUUACUAAAUACCUAUUUAUUAUACUGUUAAACUUGAGCCGUUCAUCCGUUAUCUAUACAUGCAUUAUUUAUUAUGGUACCUCAGCAUCAUUUUAUCUCCAAGUGCAAAUGCUGAAAAUUAAUUAAGAGGUAAGUAAGGCAUCAGUUAAAUUUGCACCCUACUACCCUGUACUUUUUAUCAAUCAAUACACCUGGUGAGUCCCUAAAAUUUGCACCCUAACAACAACAGCUAGCCACAAUUAGUCAUGAACACCAAAAAGUCCGCGCAGGAUGUGUAAAAUGGACAUGUCUAUGACAUCAUUUUUAUAACUAUAAAAGUAAUAAAAUAUUCUCCUAAAUAUAUUAACCAAUGCGAUUUUGAUUAUUAAAAAAUAUAAUUUCAUUAAAAAUUCAUCGGUCUUACUAAAAUAUGUAAGAAACACGUAAAGUAAUGCACAUAACUUUUUUUUAUUUUUUUAAAGGAGGGGUGCAACAUGAGGACUUCUCAAGAGGUCACUCAUCUUAGUACUGUUCUCGCCCAAGCAUGCUUAACUGCAGAGUUCUGAUGGGAUCCCGUGCAUUAGUGAUGGUAUGGUCGCACCCAAGCAAUGGACAUAACCUUAAUUUUUCAAAUGUUCUUCAUUUUUUUUUAAUCCUUUUGGAUAUCGUGAGAUCUUUAAUAAGGUGGGAAUCAGAGGGGGCCAAGUUCGUUUGGACAGUCCUUCAAAAUAUACUUUUAACUAGUCAAGAAAAAGAUUAGGAGUUGUAAUAUUAACGAAAUUUUAGUAUUGAUAAAUAUGUACGACAGAUUAUUAAUACUAAAUUGAACUUAAAAUGUAUUUAUUAUUACUUUGAUUUUAUUAUAAUUCUAUUUAUUAUAAAACAAUAAACUGAAAUCAAUUUUUGUUCAGAGUCCAACAAUAAAAUAAUCGAAAGGGCCAUUUCCGAGACUAUUUUUUAAACAUUAAGGUCUAUGUCCAUAAUUAAAUAAAUUAUGGAAUAUAAAUAUCCUUUUCCUUCAUAAUUACCGCCAAAUUACUCCCAAUCUCCACGCGCAUUAAAUUUGGUUGGUAUGCUUUGAUCGUCGGUUCGUCUUCAUGUUUACAAUUAUUUACUUUUUGGACCACGUUUGGCACAUGCCGAAAUUGAAUCUUAGCCCUUAAUCUUACCGACUAAUUGUACGAUAAAACUUGAACCGUUGAUGCCUUAUCUAUACUUUGCAACGUCACAAUCACCCCCGUUUGGCACAUGCCGAAAUUGAAUCUUAGCCCUUAAUCUUGCCGGCUAAUUGUACUAGAGAACUUGAACCGUUGAUGCCUUAUCUAUACUCUGCAACGUCACAACUACCCACUUUGGCACCGUAGGCGACUUGAUCUCUAUAUAUCAUGCCAAAUCAGAAGCAAGAACUCGCUCAAGUACUUAUUUUUUAAUAUAGUGCACUCGAAGCUAGCAAAGAUCUUUUCUGACUUGAAGAAUAUGAAAACUCUUGCUGGCGCAGGUAUUUAGGCCUACUUCAGUUUCUUUUUUGAGAAGGGCCAACUUCAGUUGAAUAUCAUUUAUAAUUCUUUUUUUAAUAUAUGCAUUUAUGAAUAUAUUUUUCAAUAUAAAAUUUUUAGGUAUGAGCGAUCCGUCAGAAGGUUUGGUACUCCCUUCCAGUAUUGCUGAUGAUGAUGUUGGAAAUGACAAUCUUGAUCUUAUUGUUAUUCCUCAAUAUGGGAGAAAUCCUGAUUAUUAUGGGUAAGUGUCUGCAAUCUGGAUGAUGAUAUAUGUAAUUAAAUAAAAGGAUGGGUACAGUUAUUACCUAUCAAUCAUAAGAGUGUCAAUUUAGUUCAGUUCACUAAUAAAAAUCUCUUAUACAAGAGAUUAUCUUUGUUUGCGUUCAUGUACUUUGUCUUCUUUAAUUAAUAAAUAAAAUUAUUGUGUAUCAAUGUGUUGAUUAAAUUAGUACAUUAAUAGAUAUAAAAUCAUUUGAAUUUGUCCACAUAUU
This 19776-nucleotide long non-coding RNA is filed under the name Citrus maxima (pomelo). RNAcentral's name for it is "long non-coding RNA (CMAX_LNC001714)". Lineage: Eukaryota; Viridiplantae; Streptophyta; Magnoliopsida; Sapindales; Rutaceae. The record is from RNAcentral.